Molecule: transfer RNA, 72 nt
Filed under: Ictidomys tridecemlineatus (thirteen-lined ground squirrel)
Lineage: Eukaryota; Metazoa; Chordata; Mammalia; Rodentia; Sciuridae
Description: Spermophilus tridecemlineatus (thirteen-lined ground squirrel) tRNA
Rfam family: tRNA
About the family: Transfer RNA (tRNA) molecules are approximately 80 nucleotides in length.
Source: Rfam by way of RNAcentral
GGGGCUGUAGUUUAGUUGGUAGAGUGCCUGCCUUGAAUGUAUAAGGCCCUGGGUUCAAUCCCAGCGCCGCCA